RNAcentral lists this long non-coding RNA (1344 nucleotides) under Phasianus colchicus (ring-necked pheasant). RNAcentral describes it as "lncRNA (ENSPCLG00000001400.1)". The record is from RNAcentral. Lineage: Eukaryota; Metazoa; Chordata; Aves; Galliformes; Phasianidae.
GGCAUCAGCAAAGCAGUGAAUAUUCUUUUAUUUUCCCAUUUUCACUAACCAAAUCCAGUCUGCAGUGCAAUUUCCAUCUGAGUUGAUCUAUGCUUUGGUGAGAGGAGUAAUAAAUAACACUUUAGAGCAGACUUCAAAAUGCCUUUUUUCUUUGAUCUGAGUAAUUAAGGAGUCAAGUUGCUGUUCCUAAGCAUUUUCUGAUGGAAUUACACGAGUUACACAGCUCUUCAUUUGUAUGUCAUUAAACAUUAUGUUUUAUUGCUGCUGUUCAAACAAUUAGUACCUAAAUAUGCCCCAUAUUCUCAUAAAGAGGCGGUAGCAGUGCUAAUGUUAAUGCCCUGAUUAACAGUUUGUUCCCAUCCAGAGUCCACCAUCAUGCCUGAUUGCCAUUUAAUGUCAAUCAGAUCUUUACUGAUGCCCUUCUGAAGUCAUUCUCUUCUGCAGUCAUUUAACUGCCCAGCAAAGUGAGGAUAAGUCAAACAAGAAAGUUAACUAAAAAUGGCAUUUCUUUUAACACAGGAAUUUUUUAAAAAGUUCAUUACAAGUUUUGGUUAUAAAAAGGCCACUGCUUCAUGGUGAUCAGUCAUUUUGACAUUUUUAUGGUGUUUUUAUUACCCCUGGCUCAUUUCCAUACUAAAGGGAACAUUUGUAACAAUACUUGCUCUCUCUGUUAUGAUUAGGAUUGUGCUUUUGCCGUGCUUUGUUGGGCUGUUGCUGCGCUCAAUAAUGCUCUUGGCACACGUCCUCCCAGACCCUGCGGUGUGUUUAUUCAAAGGGAAGGAAAAAGAAGUGUCUACUAAAACAAUAAACUACUACUGCUUGCGUUAACAUGGCCAUAACUUCCUUGUUCUGCAGACAAUCAGUUAGCAAAGCUGUUAGGUAAACUUGCUCCUUCACUGUUGAAAAAAUAAAUAUUCAUGAAUCUUGCAGCCACAUUUUCCCGUGCUUUAUAAUGGAGUUGAAGACCAUGAAGGAUUUUAAAGCUAAUAAUUUAACCAGAGAGAUAAGGAUGGGGGCCCGGAUCCUGAAAGUAGUGGGAGCUGAGAUCCUAAAUGGUACUGGAUUACUUAAGAAAGGAUGUGAGCCGGUCAACACAGGAGAAACCAUGCUAAUUAAAUCCAAGAUGUCAGAGCUCACGGGGAAAACCACCCUCACCCACCCUGCUGGAGGAGUACAAUGGCACAAUGGCACCCUCUGUUGCCCUGCACGCUGCUCCCAUGUGGAUGUAGAACUCCCAAAAGUAUCCAUUCCCCACCUCUGAAUCUCAUCUCUUCCCAUCGAGCUUCCUUGUUUGUUUGGAGUUAUCCUGUUAUUUCCAUUUGUAAUAAAGUCCGUCUUGUUCUU